GCAUGUGACUCAGUCGGUAGAGCAUGAGACUCCUAAUCUCGGUGUUGUGGGUUUGCGCCCCACGUUGGGCA
Molecule: non-coding RNA, 71 nt
Organism: Podarcis lilfordi (Lilford's wall lizard)
Lineage: Eukaryota; Metazoa; Chordata; Lepidosauria; Squamata; Lacertidae
Source: the annotation of a GenBank genome assembly